RNAcentral lists this ribosomal RNA (253 nucleotides) under uncultured bacterium. RNAcentral describes it as "partial 16S ribosomal RNA". It matches the Rfam family "Bacterial small subunit ribosomal RNA", at positions 524 to 776 of the family's 1533-position model. The record is from RNAcentral.
UACGUAGGAGACGAGCGUUGUCCGGAAUCACUGGGCGUAAAGCGCGUGUAGGCGGAUGGGCAAGUCUGCUGUGAAAGCUCCUGGCUUAACCGGGAGUGGUCGGUGGAAACUGCCAAUCUGGAGGACGGUAGAGGUAGGUAGAAUUCCCGGUGUAGUGGUGAAAUGCGUAGAGGUCGGGAGGAAUACCUGUGGCGAAGGCGGCCUACUGGGCCGGACCUGACGCUGAGACGCGAAGGCGUGGGGAGCGAACGGG